Molecule: regulatory RNA element, 52 nt
Rfam family: COG3860 RNA
Source: Rfam
CGGUCAGCAGUUCACCGAGGCGCCGUCACCCUUUUGGGAGCUAAACCUGCUA